UACGGAGGGUGCAAGCGUUACCCGGAAUCACUGGGCGUAAAGGGCGUGUAGGCGGGAACUUAAGUCUGGUUUUAAAGACUGGGGCUCAACCCCGGGGAUGGACUGGAUACUGGGGUUUCUAGACCUCUGGAGAGAUACUCGGAAUUUCUGGUGUAGCGGUGGAAUGCGUAGAUACCAGAAGGAACACCGAUGGCGAAGGCAGAGUAUUGGACAGAAGGUGAC
This 222-nucleotide ribosomal RNA is filed under the name uncultured bacterium. RNAcentral describes it as "partial 16S ribosomal RNA". It matches the Rfam family "Bacterial small subunit ribosomal RNA", at positions 524 to 744 of the family's 1533-position model. The record is from RNAcentral.